GCCGUCCCAGAGGGGUCCAGCCCAGACGUGGACCCACAGUCUGCCACCUCCCUCCAGCCCAGAGACCAGCGACAUCUCAGGCCCCGGCAGCACCACCUCCACCUCACUGGUCAUCAAGAGAGAGAGUUUUGGAAAAGAAAGUAGUUUCUCCUUGAAACCUGCAUCAGGAAACCAGGUGGUUCAACUGACUGCUUUCAAGCCCUCAGGCUGCUGAUGGAAUGUUUGGAAUUGGACACAAAGGCACAUUUAUCAUACAACCUGGUGGGAAGAAAGCGGAAUUGCACAGUGAAUACCACAAACAGAUACACACAAUAGAUGCAUCCUCUCUCAUACAAAUAUUGUAGAUGAUGUAAAUAGACACACACUCAAAAACUGCACGUAUAGAAUACACACACACACACACACACACACACACACACACACACACACACAUAUAUAUAUAUAUAUACACCCCACAUACAGAAUGAAAGACUCAAAGAUGUGCACACACACACACACACAGAGCGUGUGAAGCAGGAAGCGUUUUUUUUAGGGCGACAGCUCCUCCUCCACCACAGUGUCCCAUUCCCAGGGUCAGAAACCAUCUGCUGUUUAGGAAAUCGCUGUUCCAGAGAGGCAACACAACAUUUGUCGUGUGCAUACAGACCUCAGUUUCAUUCUCUUUUGCUGAGUGGCUUAUCACACC
Long non-coding RNA from Oncorhynchus tshawytscha (Chinook salmon), 685 nucleotides. Lineage: Eukaryota; Metazoa; Chordata; Actinopteri; Salmoniformes; Salmonidae. The record is from Ensembl.